Nomascus leucogenys (northern white-cheeked gibbon) is the source of this 337-nucleotide long non-coding RNA. RefSeq lists it as uncharacterized. The record is from RefSeq and is a predicted model, not a curated record. Lineage: Eukaryota; Metazoa; Chordata; Mammalia; Primates; Hylobatidae.
GUAGGUUUCUUGGUUAUGCUGAUGACAGGCAGUGCCCGAACUCUAGGCUGGGAGUUGUGCCAUGCUGCUGCUUUCGUGGGCUGACCAGAAAAGGGUAGAAGGAUUGGCGUUUACGAAGUUUUUGAAUCAGGAGGCAAGGUCGCCUUGUGCCCCCAAAAGGGUAGAAAAAGGCCUGGCAAACUGGAAAAUCGCGUCCUUACGGUGCCUACAUAUUUAUGGUAUCCUGUGUUUUCCAGUUGAAAGCUUGUGAAAAUUCGCUUUAUCCUUGAAAUACAGAAUUUUCACCAGGAUGUAUGAAGACCCUGUCCUCGAUGGAUCAGCUGGCACCACCCAGAUG